This 460-nucleotide ribosomal RNA is filed under the name uncultured bacterium. RNAcentral describes it as "partial 16S ribosomal RNA". It matches the Rfam family "Bacterial small subunit ribosomal RNA", at positions 338 to 795 of the family's 1533-position model. The record is from RNAcentral.
CCUACGGGAGGCAGCAGUGAGGAAUAUUGGUCAAUGGACGAGAGUCUGAACCAGCCAAGUAGCGUGAAGGAUGACUGCCCUAUGGGUUGUAAACUUCUUUUAUAUGGGAAUAAAACGUUCCACGUGUGGGAUUUUGUAUGUACCAUAUGAAUAAGGAUCGGCUAACUCCGUGCCAGCAGCCGCGGUAAUACGGAGGAUCCGAGCGUUAUCCGGAUUUAUUGGGUUUAAAGGGAGCGUAGGUGGAUUGUUAAGUCCGUUGUGAAAGUUUGCGGCUCAACCGUAAAAUUGCAGUUGAAACUGGCAGUCUUGAGUACAGUAGAGGUGGGCGGAAUUCGUGGUGUAGCGGUGAAAUGCUUAGAUAUCACGAAGAACUCCGAUUGCGAAGGCAGUUCACUGGACUGCAACUGACACUGAGGCUCGAAAGUGUGGGUAUCAAACAGGAUUAGAUACACUUGUAGUC